Molecule: ribosomal RNA, 492 nt
Filed under: uncultured bacterium
Lineage: Bacteria
Description: partial 16S ribosomal RNA
Rfam family: Bacterial small subunit ribosomal RNA
Source: RNAcentral
AGUGAACGCUGGCGGUAGGCCUAACACAUGCAAGUCGAACGGCAGCACAGUAAGAGCUUGCUCUUACGGGUGGCGAGUGGCGGACGGGUGAGGAAUACAUCGGAAUCUACUUUUUCGUGGGGGAUAACGUAGGGAAACUUACGCUAAUACCGCAUACGUCCUACGGGUGAAAGCAGGGGAUCUUCGGACCUUGCGCGAUUGAAUGAGCCGAUGUCGGAUUAGCUAGUUGGCGGGGUAAAGUCCCACCAAGGCGACGAUCCGUAGCUGGUCUGAGAGGAUGAUCAGCCACACUGGAACUGAGACACGGUCCAGACUCCUACGGGAGGCAGCAGUGGGGAAUAUUGGACAAUGGGCGCAAGCCUGAUCCAGCCAUACCGCGUGAGUGAAGAAGGCCUUCGGGUUGUAAAGCCCUUUUGUUGGGAAAGAAAAGCAGCAGGUUAAUACCCCGCUGUUCUGACGGUACCCAAAGAAUAAGCACCGGCUAACUUCGUG